Molecule: ribosomal RNA, 444 nt
Filed under: uncultured bacterium
Lineage: Bacteria
Description: SSU rRNA
Rfam family: Bacterial small subunit ribosomal RNA
Source: RNAcentral
AGAACGAACGCUGGCGGCAUGCCUAACACAUGCAAGUCGAACGCGUGUAGCGAUACACGAGUGGCGGACGGGUGAGUAACGCGUGGGAACCUGCCCUGGAGUGUGGGAUAACCGAGGGAAACUUCGGCUAAUACCGCAUACGACCUGAGGGUGAAAGAUUUAUCGCUCUAGGAGGGGCCCGCGUCGGAUUAGCUAGUUGGUGGGGUAAAGGCCUACCAAGGCAGUGAUCCGUAGCUGGUCUGAGAGGAUGAUCAGCCACACUGGGACUGAGACACGGCCCAGACUCCUACGGGAGGCAGCAGUGGGAAUAUUGGACAAUGGGGGCAACCCUGAUCCAGCAAUGCCGCGUGAGUGAUGAAGGCCUUAGGGUUGUAAAGCUCUUUCGCGCGCGACGAUGAUGACGGUAGCGCGAGAGAAGCCCGGCUAACUCGUGCCAGCAGCCGC